This 439-nucleotide ribosomal RNA is filed under the name Aggregatibacter aphrophilus. Its description in RNAcentral is "bacterial SSU rRNA". It matches the Rfam family "Bacterial small subunit ribosomal RNA", at positions 45 to 473 of the family's 1533-position model. The record is from RNAcentral. Lineage: Bacteria; Pseudomonadati; Pseudomonadota; Gammaproteobacteria; Pasteurellales; Pasteurellaceae.
GGCUUAACACAUGCAAGUCGAACGGUAGCAGGUAAGUACUUGAACUUAUGCUGACGAGUGGCGGACGGGUGAGUAAUGCUUGGGGAUCUGGCUUAUGGAGGGGGAUAACGACGGGAAACUGUCGCUAAUACCGCGUAGAAUCGAGAGAUGAAAGUGUGGGACCUUCGGGCCACAUGCCAUAGGAUGAACCCAAGUGGGAUUAGGUAGUUGGUGGGGUAAUGGCCUACCAAGCCGACGAUCUCUAGCUGGUCUGAGAGGAUGACCAGCCACACCGGGACUGAGACACGGCCCGGACUCCUACGGGAGGCAGCAGUGGGGAAUAUUGCGCAAUGGGGGCAACCCUGACGCAGCCAUGCCGCGUGAAUGAAGAAGGCCUUCGGGUUGUAAAGUUCUUUCGGUGACGAGGAAGGUUGUUGUGUGAAUAGCACAACAAAUUGAC